AAGUCGUAACAAGGUUUCCGUAGGUGAACCUGCGGAAGGAUCAUUACCAAAUUUAAUCCAAAACACUCAACCCAUGUGCACGAUGACAUUGUCUGUCCUUGGGGUGGCUGAUACUUUUCUUAGUUGUAAAGCUAUUAGUGUUGCCCCAACAUUGUUUAACCCUUUUUUUUAUUUUUAUUGGCAUUUUGUCUUAAAAAACAUUAAAUGGACAACUUUUAACGGUGGAUCUCUUGGCUCGUG
RNAcentral lists this unclassified non-coding RNA (240 nucleotides) under fungal sp. RNAcentral's name for it is "partial internal transcribed spacer region". The stretch from base 1 to 46 matches the Rfam family "Eukaryotic small subunit ribosomal RNA", at positions 1786 to 1831 of the family's 1831-position model. The record is from RNAcentral. Lineage: Eukaryota; Fungi.